GACGAACGCUGGCGGCGUGCUUAACACAUGCAAGUCGAACGGAAAGGCCCUGCUUUUGUGGGGUGCUCGAGUGGCGAACGGGUGAGUAACACGUGAGUAACCUGCCCUUGACUUUGGGAUAACUUCAGGAAACUGGGGCUAAUACCGGACAGGAGAUCCUGCUGCAUGGUGGGGGGUGGAAAGUUGCGGCGGUUGGGGAUGGACUCGCGGCUUAUCAGUUUGUUGGUGGGGUAGUGGCUUACCAAGGCUUUGACGGGUAGCCGGCCUGCGAGGGUGACCGGCCACAUUGGGACUGAGAGACGGCCCAGAGUCCUACGGGAGGCAGCAGUGGGAAACAUUGCACAAUGGGCGGAAGCCUGAUACAGCGACGCCGCGUGCGUGAUGACGGUCUGCGGGUAAUAAACCGCUUUCGCCUGUGACGAAGCGUGAGUGACGGUAAUGAGUAAAGAAGCACCGGCUAACUACGUG
This 468-nucleotide ribosomal RNA is filed under the name uncultured bacterium. RNAcentral's name for it is "partial 16S ribosomal RNA". It matches the Rfam family "Bacterial small subunit ribosomal RNA", at positions 28 to 507 of the family's 1533-position model. The record is from RNAcentral.